Long non-coding RNA from Hibiscus syriacus, 155 nucleotides. RefSeq lists it as uncharacterized. The record is from RefSeq and is a predicted model, not a curated record. The transcript has 2 exons. NCBI's taxonomy places the organism in Eukaryota, Viridiplantae, Streptophyta, Magnoliopsida, Malvales, Malvaceae.
CUUCUAAGUUUUAACAAAAAACACUUUGGAGACGACGACAAACAGCUCCUCUCCAGAUUGUUCUCUCAGUUGGAAUCAUUAAAAGAAGAUGGAAAGCUGAAGCAAUCCGAACCAGAGGAAGUUAAUUCUCGAAAGGGUGAUGAUGAUAAAGCAGA